RNAcentral lists this long non-coding RNA (273 nucleotides) under Lupinus angustifolius (narrow-leaved blue lupine). Its description in RNAcentral is "long non-coding RNA (LANG_LNC002539)". The record is from RNAcentral. Lineage: Eukaryota; Viridiplantae; Streptophyta; Magnoliopsida; Fabales; Fabaceae.
GGUGACUUAUGUAGUUAUAAAAAAUGGAGUGAUAAUUUACUACUACUAAUAAUAAUAGUAGUAGAAUGGGGCAGGAGUAACCAUAGAACUGGUUGGGAUGAAAUAAGGUUGGUCCAUCCCUGACCUUAAAUGUUGAUAAUGUCAUUUUUUUGAACUCAGAUCCAAUCAUAGACUCGAAGCUAAGUCGACCCUAAACAUCGAUUGGGCAAGCCUUUAAAAAGAACUCGAUCCUAAACCUUAUUAAAUAUAAUGCAUACUCAUUUUAGAUAAAGU